RNAcentral lists this ribosomal RNA (253 nucleotides) under uncultured bacterium. RNAcentral describes it as "partial 16S ribosomal RNA". It matches the Rfam family "Bacterial small subunit ribosomal RNA", at positions 524 to 776 of the family's 1533-position model. The record is from RNAcentral.
AACGUAGGAGGCGAGCGUUAUCCGGAUUUACUGGGCGUAAAGCGCACGCAGGCGGCUCUGUAAGUUGGACGUGAAAGCCCUCGGCUUAACCGGGGGAGGUCGUUCGAUACUGCGGGGCUUGAGGUAGGGAGAGGAAUGCGGAAUUCCUGGUGUAGUGGUGGAAUGCGUAGAUAUCAGGAGGAACACCUGUGGCGAAAGCGGCAUUCUGGCCCUCACCUGACGCUGAGGUGCGAAAGCGUGGGUAGCAAACAGG